Molecule: long non-coding RNA, 217 nt
Filed under: Nicotiana benthamiana
Lineage: Eukaryota; Viridiplantae; Streptophyta; Magnoliopsida; Solanales; Solanaceae
Description: long non-coding RNA (NBEN_LNC000921)
Source: RNAcentral
AUGCAUAUUGGUUCUAGGAUUGCUAUUUCUAGGAUAAGCAUUUUUAUUGUCCUAGGUUAGGUUGUUGGGGUUUUGCUUCAACCUUUUCUUUAGGCUCAUUCGUAAACCCUAUACCAUGCUUGGUUGACUUCAAAUUAUCAAGAACAUCAUUCAAAUCUUUGUGCGAAGAAUUAAACUUAUCUAAUGUGCCUUUAAGCCUUUCUACUUCAUUUUUGAG